CGAUUCCGUAAGUAGCGGCGAGCGAACGCGGAUUAGCCCAAACCAAUAAAGUUUUCUUUAUUGGGGUUGAGGACAUACCACAUAUAAGAGGUCAUUAUAGACGAAGAAGUUUGGAAAAACUCAUCAUAGAAGGUAAUAAUCCUGUAGUCAAAAUAAUAAUUCUUUAGGUAUGAUCCAGAGUACCACGGGACACGUGAAACCCUGUGGGAAGCAGGAGGGACCACCCUCCAAGGCUAAAUACUACCUAGUGACCGAUAGCGUAUAGUAC
Molecule: ribosomal RNA, 268 nt
Filed under: Clostridioides difficile
Lineage: Bacteria; Bacillati; Bacillota; Clostridia; Peptostreptococcales; Peptostreptococcaceae
Description: partial 23S ribosomal RNA
Rfam family: Bacterial large subunit ribosomal RNA
Source: RNAcentral